This 404-nucleotide ribosomal RNA is filed under the name Actinomycetes bacterium. Its description in RNAcentral is "Actinobacteria bacterium partial 16S ribosomal RNA". It matches the Rfam family "Bacterial small subunit ribosomal RNA", at positions 355 to 776 of the family's 1533-position model. Lineage: Bacteria; Bacillati; Actinomycetota; Actinomycetes. The record is from RNAcentral.
UGGGGAAUAUUGGACAAUGGGCGCAAGCCUGAUCCAGCCAUGCCGCGUGAGUGAUGAAGGCCCUAGGGUUGUAAAGCUCUUUCACCGGGGAAGAUAAUGACGGUAACCGGAGAAGAAGCCCCGGCUAACUUCGUGCCAGCAGCCGCGGUAAUACGAAGGGGGCUAGCGUUGUUCGGAUUUACUUGGCGUAAAGCGCACGUAGGCGGACUAUUAAGUCAGGGGUGAAAUCCCGGGGCUCAACCCCGGAACUGCCUUUGAUACUGGUAGUCUUGAGUUCGAGAGAGGGGAGUGGAAUUCCGGUUGUAGAGGUGAAAUUCGUAGAUAUUCGGAGGAACACCAGUGGCGAGGGCGGCUCACUGGCUCGAUACUGACGCUGAGGUGCGAAAGCGUGGGGAGCAAACAGG